RNAcentral lists this long non-coding RNA (313 nucleotides) under Daucus carota (carrot). Its description in RNAcentral is "long non-coding RNA (DCAR_LNC002791)". Lineage: Eukaryota; Viridiplantae; Streptophyta; Magnoliopsida; Apiales; Apiaceae. The record is from RNAcentral.
UAUUGGUAGUAUACACCAUCUGGUUGAUGCCUUUUGUUUCUACCCCUAUCUCAAGAAGUCCAUUAUAAAGAAAUAAAUCGGUAAAUUUGGUUGAUUGAAGAUAUCACUGUGAUCGAAGACUAAUGCGAUUGCAUGAAAUACACUUGUGGUGGUAUUUCUUGGCGGAUCCAAGAUAUUCUCCAUUCUUGUUUACUUUAACUAGCCUGCCAUAUGCUAUUUUACAUCUUGCAUUAUUGCUGACAAAUAUAGUUUCAGCAUCACAUUCUCUCCAUUUUCUUGCCUGUUUGUUGUAAAAUUUCUGUUUAGUUUUUUA